GCCUGCUUAGCUCAGUUGGUAGAGCGUGCCCUUCGUAUGAUAUGGAUAGGGUAAGGUCGACUGUUCGAUCCAGCCAGUAGGCA
Molecule: transfer RNA, 83 nt
Filed under: Tremellales sp. Tagirdzhanova-0007
Lineage: Eukaryota; Fungi; Basidiomycota; Tremellomycetes; Tremellales
Description: tRNA-Thr
Source: RNAcentral